AGCUACACAUGCAGUCGAGCGCACCUUCGGGUGAGCGGCGGACGGGUUAGUAACGCGUGGGAACAUACCCUUUUCUACGGAAUAGCCUCGGGAAACUGAGAGUAAUACCGUAUAAGCCCUUCGGGGGAAAGAUUUAUCGGGAAAGGAUUGGCCCGCGUUAGAUUAGAUAGUUGGUGGGGUAAUGGCCUACCAAGUCUACGAUCUAUAGCUGGUUUUAGAGGAUGAUCAGCAACACUGGGACUGAGACACGGCCCAGACUCCUACGGGAGGCAGCAGUGGGGAAUCUUAGACAAUGGGCGCAAGCCUGAUCUAGCCAUGCCGCGUGUGUGAUGAAGGUCUUAGGAUCGUAAAGCACUUUCGCCAGGGAUGAUAAUGACAGUACCUGGUAAAGAAACCCCGGCUAACUCCGUGCCAGCAGCCGCGGUAAUACGGAGGGGGUUAGCGUUGUUCGGAAUUACUGGGCGUAAAGCGUACGUAGGCGGAUUGGAAAGUUGGGGGUGAAAUCCCAGGGCUCAACCCUGGAACUGCCUCCAAAACUAUCAGUCUAGAGUUCGAGAGAGGUGAGUGGAAUUCCAAGUGUAGAGGUGAAAUUCGUAGAUAUUUGGAGGAACACCAGUGGCGAAGGCGGCUCACUGGCUCGAUACUGACGCUGAGGUACGAAAGUGUGGGGGAGCAAACAGGAUUAGAUACCCUGGUAGUCCACACCGUAAAAC
This 713-nucleotide ribosomal RNA is filed under the name Sulfitobacter pontiacus. Its description in RNAcentral is "bacterial SSU rRNA". It matches the Rfam family "Bacterial small subunit ribosomal RNA", at positions 45 to 808 of the family's 1533-position model. Lineage: Bacteria; Pseudomonadati; Pseudomonadota; Alphaproteobacteria; Rhodobacterales; Roseobacteraceae. The record is from RNAcentral.